RNAcentral lists this ribosomal RNA (453 nucleotides) under uncultured bacterium. RNAcentral describes it as "bacterial SSU rRNA". It matches the Rfam family "Bacterial small subunit ribosomal RNA", at positions 29 to 523 of the family's 1533-position model. The record is from RNAcentral.
AACGAACGCUGGCGGCAGGCUUAACACAUGCAAGUCGAACGGAUCCUUCGGGAUCAGUGGCGGACGGGUGAGUAACGCGUGGGAACCUACCCUGGGGUGGGGAAUAACCUUGGGAAACCGAGGCUAAUACCGCAUACGCCCUAUUGGGGAAAGACUAUGUUGCCCUGGGAUGGGCCCGCGUCCGAUUAGCUAGUUGGUGGGGUAAUGGCCUACCAAGGCUGCGAUCGGUAGCUGGUCUGAGAGGAUGAUCAGCCACACUGGGACUGAGACACGGCCCAGACUCCUACGGGAGGCAGCAGUGGGGAAUCUUGCGCAAUGGGCGAAAGCCUGACGCAGCAACGCCGCGUGCGGGAUGACGGCCUUCGUGGUUGUAAACCGCUUUCAGCAGGGACGGAAAAUAGACGGUACCUGCAGAAGAAGCCCCGGCUAACUACGUGCCAGCAGCCGCGGUAA